Molecule: small nuclear RNA, 191 nt
Organism: Eptesicus fuscus (big brown bat)
Lineage: Eukaryota; Metazoa; Chordata; Mammalia; Chiroptera; Vespertilionidae
Product: U2 spliceosomal RNA
Exons: 1
Source: RefSeq, a predicted model, not a curated record
AUCGCUUCUCAGCCUUUUGGCUAAGAUCAAGAGUAGGUAUCUGCUCUUAUAAAUUAACAUCUGAUAUGUCCUCUAUCGAAGAAAUGCAUAUUAAAUGAAUUUUUGGAGCAAAGAGAUGAAUAGGAGCUUGCUCUCCCCACGCUGAGCAUUGGCCUGAUAUUCCAGUACCUCUGGGGAGCAGUGCACCCCCU